RNAcentral lists this ribosomal RNA (250 nucleotides) under uncultured bacterium. Its description in RNAcentral is "partial 16S ribosomal RNA". It matches the Rfam family "Bacterial small subunit ribosomal RNA", at positions 524 to 773 of the family's 1533-position model. The record is from RNAcentral.
UACGUAGGGGGCAAGCGUUGUCCGGAUUUAUUGGGCGUAAAGAGCGUGUAGGCGGCCAGAUAGGUCGGUUGUGAAAACUGGAGGCUUAACCUUCAGACGUCGACCGAAACCAUCUGGCUAGAGUCCGGAAGAGGAGAAUGGAAUUCCUGGUGUAGCGGUGAAAUGCGCAGAUAUCAGGAAGAACACCCGUGGCGAAGGCGGUUCUCUGGGACGGUACUGACGCUGAGACGCGAAAGCGUGGGGAGCGAAC